CAGGCCCGAAGACGGUAGGGUCCUCUACGUCUUCCUCGAUGCCCUCAUCCUCCUCCAGCGCCUCGAUGGCAGGAGCCUCGUCCGGAGUGUCAGGGUCCAGGCUGACGUCCUCAAGCACUUUGCCGGUCUGCUGGUACAGGUACUCCACUCCGAUGAGCUCCCCUGUCACACAGAGAAGGAUUCAGUAGCGGCUCGUUUUGCUGUCAGUUACGAGAUGAGGUGUUUUCACAUCGCAUACCUGUGUACUCAGCCGGCUCGGUGAAGUCCUUAACCAUCUGAAGACCAAGCACUCUUUGGCUCUUCUGGUUAAGGACGUGCUUGAGGUGGCCACUGUAGGAGUGCAGAGGUCCCAGCCGUCCCUCGACUGCAGCCGGUGGUGGUGCAGCUGCCGCUGCGCGGUCCUCGUUCCACCUCACCAGUCCAUCCACCAGGAACGCCUGGAAGUGCUUGGCGCUGGCCCGGGUCCCUGGGGAAGGGGGGGGGGUUUGGAUCAGACACGAGUUUGCAUUUUCUUAAAGUUCAAAUAGAGAUUACAUUUUGUCACGAGCCGCGAGACACACGCCGGUACCUGGGAUGAACCGGUUAAGGUGGAGGUGGAAGGACUCCAGAGAGGUGGAGCCCCUCGCGCAGCGAUAUACGGGCAGGCUGACUCCUCCCUUGGUCAGCCGGCCCGUCUGGGUGUACAGCUGCACACCUGGCGGGUCCUGGAUGCAGCUGAGGUGGGUCCUCUGCGUACUCCAUAUUUCCUGGAUGCGGAGAGCGUUGAGCAACGGGAUGCCCAGGUUGUUGCGUCCUGCCGGUCCACCGAAGGUGUCGAGGAGCUCCUGGAUGAGGAGGGCCGAUUCCUCAGGCCCCCGUGUCCUGCGGCGGACGUGGAGCCUCCACUCCUCCUUGGAGAUCCUCUGGUUCACCGCGGCGUCCGUCAGUCCAACCAUCCCGUGCUUCCCCUCCAGCUGGGACCGCUUAGCCUCUGCGAGACGGCGUGCAUCUCCGGCGUCCACCUCAAAGAUGCAGUUAGACAGCUGCCUCAUGAAGGUGGGGUACAGCUCGUGGCUCUCGGUGUUGACACCUGAUGCGAAGCGUCGCAUCAGGUGCCAGAUGUCCAGUCUCACCACGAGAUGCUCCCACUCCUGCGAAACAAACAAAACGUUAAACUCUCCAGCCACGGUGCUGAUGCAGCACAACUGUCAACAGUGUCCUUUUCACACCUGAAACAAGACAGCUGUCUUUGACACGCCGUCCCUGUUGCAGCAGUCGCGGUCCACGUAGAUCAGCUGGGGGGGAGGUACCCCGGCGAGUCGGUACCGCCUCAUCAAGCCGGCCGCCAUCCCGGACAGGCCCCCGGCGCUCUCUCGGUGGAGGUGAGGACGCUCAUGAGGACCUGCCCGUGCUCAUUGCCGACGUUGGUAGCCCAGGCGGCCGUGUCGGAGGCGAUACCCGCGAGCUUCUUUGUCACCUGCAGAGAGAUUCUGAGAGUUAAUGUGAGAAACACACAGCAGCUGGAAGGAAAAGAAACUGACAGACUCCACUCGCCUUCUUGGUGGAGUCCAUCUUUUUGAUUGACCCGAAGGUGGACGUGAUCCUGGCCUUGUACUCAUCCAGCCGCGCCAGGACGUCGUAGCUGUACACGGUCAGCAGCCAGACGGGGGAUGGCAGAGGGGGCAUCUCGGGCAGAGUUGCCUGGACCGGGCAACUCCUCCCGUUCCUCCACGGCAACGGGUGCGGACGGCGUCAAGGGGGCGGCUGGAGGCGAGGGAGCCGGUGUCCCGGCAGGCUGAACCACGACGAGGGCUGCAGAAGGUCUAUCUCCUGUGAGGCUUCCAGCAGCUCCUCGUCUGUGGGCUCGUCCAGCAGAGUAGAGACACCGGCUCCCGGAGGAGGAGGUGCUGCUGAGGAGGAGGCGGCGGCGGCGGCGGCAGCAGCAGCAGCGGGUGGUGGCAGGCGCAAAAGGGGAGCCUUUGCAAUCAAGGCUUGAAGGUCUCCAAGUCAACUACCGCCUUGACCAGCUCUUCAUCUGUAGGCUCCACAGAUGACUGGGUGGAGGACAGAGCUGGUCUGAAGGGGCUGAAGUUGGGGGCUGCAGACACAUGAUGGCAGAAGAUAAACCAGGAACACAGGAGCGUAGAUCAAGUGGAACGUCAGUAAAUAACGGAGGCUGGACUGACCUGUAGAUGCAGGCUUAGGGGCCACCAGCUUCUUCACCUGGGCCUGCAUCUCCACAGCAGAUAGAGAACGCCGACCAGAGACAAACUCCACAAGCGCUGGACCAAGAGGCCUAUUAUGACACACGAUAAAUGAGAGGCAACGACAUUAACAAUGACACAACGUUACAAACAUUUCUUCAGGAACACGUACUGUGAUGCACUCGUGGCUCUCUGGCUUGUGGCCGAUGCAGAGGCUGCGCUGCUGCUGGAGGUGGAGGUAGAUGCUCCAGCAGCAGCUUUCAUCCUCUGCAUGUCUCUGCUGCGCACAUACUGGACGGCGUUCUCCAUCUGCGUCUCUGGAGCUGGUGAUGUCCUCCGGAGAUUCGUAGAGGCUCUCCAGGGUCUCGAAUUUGAAGUCCCCGAAGCCAACGAGGGCCCGUCCCUCCUGACCGGGCUGGAGGGAAUUUGCCUGCGCCUCCUCAAAUGCCCUGUGGAACCUGACAGCCUCCACAAAGUCAGGAUAGGCGGAGGAGUAGCGGGUGAAGGCGUCCUGUGAGGUUACAAAGUGAGAUAACACAGUGAGGUUAAAUGCCAUCAUUUCUCUAAUUGUAACUGUCUCAAAGUAUUGUGAAGGACCUUGUUGGCCAUCAGCGGGGACUGAGACUGCGUCCUCUCGCGCUCCUUCUGGUGGGAGGCGACCAGAUUGACGCUGUAGCCCACGUCGUUCUCCAGGAGCCAGAGGAAGGUUCUGCCCUGGUAGCGGCCAAACUGCACCUUCCACCGGCUCAGAACCAGGGCGGCGUUGGCGGUGUCACCGCCCUUGGAGACGACAUGAACCCAGGCCUCCGAGUCCACCUCCUCCGGCCUCUUUGCCCUGUAAGGCGCCUGGGCACUGGGGGGCUGCCGCGUGAAGAGGGCCUGGGCCUCUGGGGAGGCCGUGGGCAGGAUGGUCCCGUUAGGGGCCCUUCUGCAUGUAGGAUGCUCCAUCUAAACAAAUGGACAUUUUAGCAGCACACGGGAGAAAGAAGAAGACAUGACACGUGACACUCCCA
Gasterosteus aculeatus aculeatus (three-spined stickleback) is the source of this 3196-nucleotide long non-coding RNA. The record is from Ensembl. NCBI's taxonomy places the organism in Eukaryota, Metazoa, Chordata, Actinopteri, Perciformes, Gasterosteidae.